UGGUGGUGAUUGUGGUGGUGGAGCUAAUGACAUGUGUGCAGAAACUCUUCUGAAUGGGACUUCCCUGAUCCUGUUUUUACCUGAUCUUCAUGCUCAAUAGAAAAAGCCUCAGCUUUGGAAUCAGCUUCCCAGUGAACACCGAGAGUUGAGUUUAGCAACUGUUUGGACUGGCCAUGUAACAGUUAUACAAUUUUCAAUUUGCAGGGCCGUCCAGGUAGCAUGGCAUGGUACUGGAACACUAUGUCUUCUCUCUGACCUCUCGGAAUAUCUCUGUGAUUCAAUGUGUUGGCCCAUUGGAGGCCCUGGACUGGUUAAAACCUGGAGGUUUGAGAAACCCCUGAUCUUCUCCAUACUCUUCACAAGGGCAAUGGCUGGCCAAGAUUACAAAUUAGUGACUGUUGAGGCUGGAAUCUGUACCGAGGUCAUGGGAACCCCCUGCACUGCCCCUUCUAAUCACCCUCCUGCUUGGACCCUGGGAGUAUGACAAAGAGUCAGAUAAGACAACUGAGGCUGAAGAUCACACAACCAGUAAAUGGAACAGCCAGAAAUCAAAUGUUAUAUAUUGGCCCUGAAGUGGGGAUAAAGCAGCUAAAAGAAAGUGUACUUUACAUUAAAUUUUAAGGUAUCCAAAAGCAAAUCAAUAAGCCAUACUCUAGUUACAUUAAGAUAUUUUCACAAGUGCUAGGUUAAGUAAUAUAAAAUUACCAUUUUUGUAGGUCAAAAGUAAUGGAAUAUCAUGCUUGUAUAUGGUUUGAUCUAAUAUAUAUCAUUAUCAGGUUCUACUAAUACAGAGUUUUCUGCCUUUACUUAACCAUCACAAUAAACUAAGGACUUCCAAGCUAGUAAGAAUAAUGACACAGAUAAUAAUUAGAAAAGUAUUCAUAACAUUAUCAACAAACACUUCUACCAUUUUUUGAACAACUACUUCUAUGUAUAUUUUCACUGUAGUAAAAAAUCCCUAACAAAAAA
Homo sapiens (human) is the source of this 969-nucleotide long non-coding RNA. Lineage: Eukaryota; Metazoa; Chordata; Mammalia; Primates; Hominidae. The record is from Ensembl.